This 434-nucleotide ribosomal RNA is filed under the name uncultured bacterium. Its description in RNAcentral is "bacterial SSU rRNA". It matches the Rfam family "Bacterial small subunit ribosomal RNA", at positions 958 to 1392 of the family's 1533-position model. The record is from RNAcentral.
AACGCGAAGAACCUUACCAGGUCUUGACAUCCCUCUGAAUAUCCUAGAGAUAGGGUAGGCCUUCGGGACAGAGGAGACAGGUGGUGCAUGGUUGUCGUCAGCUCGUGUCGUGAGAUGUUGGGUUAAGUCCCGCAACGAGCGCAACCCUUGAUCUUAGUUGCCAGCACUUUGGGUGGGCACUCUAAGAUGACUGCCGGUGACAAACCGGAGGAAGGUGGGGAUGACGUCAAAUCAUCAUGCCCCUUAUGACCUGGGCUACACACGUACUACAAUGGUCGGUACAACGGGAAGCGAAGCCGCGAGGUGGAGCCAAUCCUAAAAAGCCGAUCUCAGUUCGGAUUGCAGGCUGCAACUCGCCUGCAUGAAGUCGGAAUUGCUAGUAAUCGCGGAUCAGCAUGCCGCGGUGAAUACGUUCCCGGGUCUUGUACACACCG